This 492-nucleotide ribosomal RNA is filed under the name uncultured bacterium. RNAcentral describes it as "partial 16S ribosomal RNA". It matches the Rfam family "Bacterial small subunit ribosomal RNA", at positions 29 to 507 of the family's 1533-position model. The record is from RNAcentral.
AGUGAACGCUGGCGGUAGGCCUAACACAUGCAAGUCGAACGGCAGCACAGUAAGAGCUUGCUCUUACGGGUGGCGAGUGGCGGACGGGUGAGGAAUACAUCGGAAUCUACUUUUUCGUGGGGGAUAACGUAGGGAAACUUACGCUAAUACCGCAUACGACCUACGGGUGAAAGCAGGGGAUCUUCGGACCUUGCGCGAUUGAAUGAGCCGAUGUCGGAUUAGCUAGUUGGCGGGGUAAAGGCCCACCAAGGCGACGAUCCGUAGCUGGUCUGAGAGGAUGAUCAGCCAGACGGGAACUGAGACACGGUACAGACUCCGACGGGGGGCAGCAGUGGGGAAUAUUGGAGAAUGGGCGCAAGCCUGAUCCAGCCAUACCGCGUGAGUGAAGAAGGCCUUCGGGUUGUAGAGCCCUUUUGUUGGGAAAGAAAAGCAGCAGGUUAAUACCCCGCUGUUCUGACGGUACCCAAAGAAUAAGCACCGGCUAACUUCGUG